Molecule: ribosomal RNA, 814 nt
Filed under: uncultured denitrifying bacterium
Lineage: Bacteria
Description: bacterial SSU rRNA
Rfam family: Bacterial small subunit ribosomal RNA
Source: RNAcentral
AUUGAACGCUGGCGGCAUGCUUUACACAUGCAAGUCGAACGGCAGCACGGGUGCUUCUGCACCUGGUGGCGAGUGGCGAACGGGUGAGUAAUGCAUCGGAACGUACCCAGUCGUGGGGGAUAACGUAGUCGAAAGAUUAUGCUAAUACCGCAUACGUCCUGAGGGAGAAAGCGGGGGAUCGCAAGACCUCGCGCGAUUGGAGCGGCCGAUGUCGGAUUAGCUAGUUGGUGGGGUAAAGGCUCACCAAGGCGACGAUCCGUAGCUGGUCUGAGAGGACGAUCCAGCCACACUGGAACUGAGACACGGUCCAGACUCCUACGGGAGGCAGCAGUGGGGAAUUUUGGACAAUGGGGGCAACCCUGAUCCAGCCAUGCCGCGUGCGGGAAGAAGGCCUUCGGGUUGUAAACCGCUUUCGGACGGAAAGAAAUCGCGCAGGCUAAUAUCCUGUGCUGGAUGACGGUACCGUAAGAAGAAGCACCGGCUAACUACGUGCCAGCAGCCGCGGUAAUACGUAGGGUGCGAGCGUUAAUCGGAAUUACUGGGCGUAAAGCGUGCGCAGGCGGAUAUCUUAAGUCAGACGUGAAAUCCCCGGGCUUAACCUGGGAAUUGCGUUUGAAACUGGGAUAUCUAGAGUGCGUCAGAGGGGGGUGGAAUUCCACGUGUAGCAGUGAAAUGCGUAGAGAUGUGGAGGAACACCGAUGGCGAAGGCAGCCCCCUGGGAUGACACUGACGCUCAUGCACGAAAGCGUGGGGAGCAAACAGGAUUAGAUACCCUGGUAGUCCACGCCCUAAACGAUGUCAACUAGCUGUUGGG